UACGUAUGUCCCGAGCGUUAUCCGGAAUUAUUGGGCGUAAAGCGAGCGCAGACGGUUGAUUAAGUCUGAUGUGAAAUCCCCGGGCUCAACUCCGGAAUGGCAUUGGAGACUGGGUAACUUGAGUGCAGUAGAGGUAAGUGGAACUCCAUGUGUAGCGGUGGAAUGCGUAGAUAUAUGGAGGAACACCAGAGGCGAAGGCGGCUCACUGGAAUGAAACUGACGUUGAGGUGCGAAAGUGUGGGGAGCAAACAGG
RNAcentral lists this ribosomal RNA (253 nucleotides) under uncultured bacterium. Its description in RNAcentral is "partial 16S ribosomal RNA". It matches the Rfam family "Bacterial small subunit ribosomal RNA", at positions 524 to 776 of the family's 1533-position model. The record is from RNAcentral.